Molecule: ribosomal RNA, 2226 nt
Filed under: Escherichia coli
Lineage: Bacteria; Pseudomonadati; Pseudomonadota; Gammaproteobacteria; Enterobacterales; Enterobacteriaceae
Description: partial 23S ribosomal RNA
Rfam family: Bacterial large subunit ribosomal RNA
Source: RNAcentral
AUGGGCAGGUUGAAGGUUGGGUAACACUAACUGGAGGACCGAACCGACUAAUGUUGAAAAAUUAGCGGAUGACUUGUGGCUGGGGGUGAAAGGCCAAUCAAACCGGGAGAUAGCUGGUUCUCCCCGAAAGCUAUUUAGGUAGCGCCUCGUGAAUUCAUCUCCGGGGGUAGAGCACUGUUUCGGCAAGGGGGUCAUCCCGACUUACCAACCCGAUGCAAACUGCGAAUACCGGAGAAUGUUAUCACGGGAGACACACGGCGGGUGCUAACGUCCGUCGUGAAGAGGGAAACAACCCAGACCGCCAGCUAAGGUCCCAAAGUCAUGGUUAAGUGGGAAACGAUGUGGGAAGGCCCAGACAGCCAGGAUGUUGGCUUAGAAGCAGCCAUCAUUUAAAGAAAGCGUAAUAGCUCACUGGUCGAGUCGGCCUGCGCGGAAGAUGUAACGGGGCUAAACCAUGCACCGAAGCUGCGGCAGCGACGCUUAUGCGUUGUUGGGUAGGGGAGCGUUCUGUAAGCCUGUGAAGGUGGCCUGUGAGGGUUGCUGGAGGUAUCAGAAGUGCGAAUGCUGACAUAAGUAACGAUAAAGCGGGUGAAAAGCCCGCUCGCCGGAAGACCAAGGGUUCCUGUCCAACGUUAAUCGGGGCAGGGUGAGUCGACCCCUAAGGCGAGGCCGAAAGGCGUAGUCGAUGGGAAACAGGUUAAUAUUCCUGUACUUGGUGUUACUGCGAAGGGGGGACGGAGAAGGCUAUGUUGGCCGGGCGACGGUUGUCCCGGUUUAAGCGUGUAGGCUGGUUUUCCAGGCAAAUCCGGAAAAUCAAGGCUGAGGCGUGAUGACGAGGCACUACGGUGCUGAAGCGACAAAUGCCCUGCUUCCAGGAAAAGCCUCUAAGCAUCAGGUAACAUUAAAUCGUACCCCAAACCGACACAGGUGGUCAGGUAGAGAAUACCAAGGCGCUUGAGAGAACUCGGGUGAAGGAACUAGGCAAAAUGGUGCCGUAACUUCGGGAGAAGGCACGCUGAUAUGUAGGUGAAGCGACUUGCUCGUGGAGCUGAAAUCAGUCGAAGAUACCAGCUGGCUGCAACUGUUUAUUAAAAACACAGCACUGUGCAAACACGAAAGUGGACGUAUACGGUGUGACGCCUGCCCGGUGCCGGAAGGUUAAUUGAUGGGGUUAGCGGUAACGCGAAGCUCUUGAUCGAAGCCCCGGUAAACGGCGGCCGUAACUAUAACGGUCCUAAGGUAGCGAAAUUCCUUGUCGGGUAAGUUCCGACCUGCACGAAUGGCGUAAUGAUGGCCAGGCUGUCUCCACCCGAGACUCAGUGAAAUUGAACUCGCUGUGAAGAUGCAGUGUACCCGCGGCAAGACGGAAAGACCCCGUGAACCUUUACUAUAGCUUGACACUGAACAUUGAGCCUUGAUGUGUAGGAUAGGUGGGAGGCUUUGAAGUGUGGACGCCAGUCUGCAUGGAGCCGACCUUGAAAUACCACCCUUUAAUGUUUGAUGUUCUAACGUGGGCCCCUUACCGGGGUUGCGGACAGUGUCUGGUGGGUAGUUUGACUGGGGCGGUCUCCUCCUAAAGAGUAACGGAGGAGCACGAAGGUUGGCUAAUCCUGGUCGGACAUCAGGAGGUUAGUGCAAUGGCAUAAGCCAGCUUGACUGCGAGCGUGACGGCGCGAGCAGGUGCGAAAGCAGGUCAUAGUGAUCCGGUGGUUCUGAAUGGAAGGGCCAUCGCUCAACGGAUAAAAGGUACUCCGGGGAUAACAGGCUGAUACCGCCCAAGAGUUCAUAUCGACGGCGGUGUUUGGCACCUCGAUGUCGGCUCAUCACAUCCUGGGGCUGAAGUAGGUCCCAAGGGUAUGGCUGUUCGCCAUUUAAAGUGGUACGCGAGCUGGGUUUAGAACGUCGUGAGACAGUUCGGUCCCUAUCUGCCGUGGGCGCUGGAGAACUGAGGGGGGCUGCUCCUAGUACGAGAGGACCGGAGUGGACGCAUCACUGGUGUUCGGGUUGUCAUGCCAAUGGCACUGCCCGGUAGCUAAAUGCGGAAGAGAUAAGUGCUGAAAGCAUCUAAGCACGAAACUUGCCCCGAGAUGAGUUCUCCCUGACUCCUUGAGAGUCCUGAAGGAACGUUGAAGACGACGACGUUGAUAGGCCGGGUGUGUAAGCGCAGCGAUGCGUUGAGCUAACCGGUACUAAUGAACCGUGAGGCUUAACCUUACAACGCCGAAG